UUGAGCCGGAUGCUUGGAGACUUGCACGUCCGGUUCUGAGGCGGGAAGGGUAUUGUGAAGUACCUGACCUAGCCGAC
This 77-nucleotide non-coding RNA is filed under the name Gloeocapsa sp. PCC 73106. Lineage: Bacteria; Bacillati; Cyanobacteriota; Cyanophyceae; Chroococcidiopsidales; Chroococcidiopsidaceae. The record is from RNAcentral.